UAUUUCAAUGGCUAGGAGAAAGGGCUUAUUCCUUAGAUGAACAUGGAAGCACAACUAGCCACAAUAUCCAUAAAAAAGGUUUAUGGGUUUUAAUUGGAGGGUUAGCGACAGCUUUGAUAAUAGUAGUCAUUUCUACAUGGAUCUGCUACAGAAAGAGGAAAGAACAGAUCAUUCCUGCUAGGAAAAAUGGUAGAUUUUUCUGCUUAAUAAUUCAACCAAGCUAAGAACAGAUU
Molecule: long non-coding RNA, 233 nt
Organism: Hibiscus syriacus
Lineage: Eukaryota; Viridiplantae; Streptophyta; Magnoliopsida; Malvales; Malvaceae
Exons: 3
Source: RefSeq, a predicted model, not a curated record